ACCAGGUCUUGACAUCCCGAUGCUAUUCUAGAGAUAGAAGUUACUUCGGUACAUCGGUGACAGGUGGUGCAUGGUUGUCGUCAGCUCGUGUCGUGAGAUGUUGGGUUAAGUCCCGCAACGAGCGCAACCCCUAUUGUUAGUUGCCAUCAUUCAGUUGGGCACUCUAGCGAGACUGCCGGUAAUAAACCGGAGGAAGGUGGGGAUGACGUCAAAUCAUCAUGCCCCUUAUGACCUGGGCUACACACGCGCUACAAUGGUUGGUACAACGAGUUGCGAGUCGGUGACGGCGAGCUAAUCUCUUAAAGCCAAUCUCAGUUCGGAUUGUAGGCUGCAACUCGCCUACAUGAAGUCGGAAUCGCUAGUAAUCGCGGAUCAGCACGCCGCGGUGAAUACGUUCCCGGGCCUU
This 406-nucleotide ribosomal RNA is filed under the name uncultured Streptococcus sp. RNAcentral describes it as "bacterial SSU rRNA". It matches the Rfam family "Bacterial small subunit ribosomal RNA", at positions 973 to 1382 of the family's 1533-position model. The record is from RNAcentral. Lineage: Bacteria; Bacillati; Bacillota; Bacilli; Lactobacillales; Streptococcaceae.